UGUGAUUGUUACGCAACAGUACAUUUAACCCUCAAACCAAGGCACGCAGCCUGUUUUUAUUUAUAGGCUGUUUUCAACUUGUCAAAUUAUUUUCUAACAAGUUUUUUUAUUUUCUAAGAACAGUUUUAAUUGAGGUGUGUUCCGCCUCAUAUAUUCACAUAAAAGUCAUCAUUUUUACUUAGGUAAUGAGGUAACGUUACUAAUUUCAUAACCUUUAUGGUGUUAUACUCAAUGCUUAGGUAGGUAGCUACAUUAUUCUAUUAGCUCUGGAAAACAAUGCUAAUUGCGUCAGAGAGGUAUUAGCGUGUGUUGUAUUUUGAAGAUUUCCUGGCCUUAUGACUCCCAAGUGGCGCAAUUGUUUAAGGCAAUGUCUCAGUGCUAGAGGCGUCACUACAGACACCUAGGUUCAAAUCUAGACUGCGUUUCUAUCAAAGUGGUCCACCUUCCCUGUGGCCGGCGUGGUAGCUGUGUGGAGAGUACAUGGAUGUCUCGUUUGUCAUGCCACUUUACUGCCAGGUGUUGACAUUUUCUAUUUUGUAUAACGACUCAUUUAGGAUGGCAGUAGCAUUGUUGAUGAAAUGCUGUCAUAGCAGCAGAACUAGGAAACAGUCUUGGGAAAAGAGGGUGGCAAAGAAGGGAGUUGCAACCAUAGGAUCUGUGCUCCAGUAUUCUCUUAUGGAGUUCUUCUUUACUAUCCCCAUGAGAAGGACUGUCACCAGAAAGGUAUACAUUUCACUAAUUGUGGUUAUCCCCCCGACUCCUGGCUCUCUCUUCUCCUGUAGCUCCAAGGCAUAGCGUUUGGUCUCUGCUAUGUCUCCCACCAGCUCCUCUGUCAGAAACAACUUGAAGCACUCUGCCUCAGAUGAAAAUGGCAAGGGGCGUUGCCCUCCAGACUGGGACUCAUCAAAGCAAACAGCAGGGUCAGGAAGGGUGAAAUGGCUGUCAGCCUUCCAGCUACCACAGGAUUCCUGUAUUUCAUCCAUUGUUGGCCUGCCUCCAUCACCACCAGCAUCUUCAAAGGGAACUGGGACUUUGUCAGUGGACAAAGGGUCCUCAGGUUCCUGGUCCUCAAUGGCUGGGGGGCAGCUCCUCACUGUCACUGUCAAAAUCUGAUUCCUGACUUUUAGACUCAUUGUCAGAAUUGUAAAAAAUCUCCAGAAUUUCCACAUUUGUAAGUUGUCUCCUUUUGAAAGACAUUGCUAAUGCUACAGCUUAGCUCACUAGCUACAUACAGUACAUAAACAACAACACUGAAUGGGCUCAGAGUGGGAGUGAGAGGUUAUGUGAUUGACUGCCUGCACGUGCCAUUUGUAUCAAAUCACUAUCAUAAAAUGUUUUGUUUGGUAAUUAUUGAUAUAUUUACUGUUUUAUUCACAUGUUUUUCAAGUACCUGUGAUAAAUCAUGCAUUCCAAUUAUUGCAUAGAUUGUAAUGGGCAUAUUAUUAUGUGUGUAAAAUACUUUUUUGAAGGUUGUACUGAUUAUGAUGAGCUAAGCUAAAUCCAGCUAGGUGUGGAGCCAUGUUUGUUGACAUACAAUGCAUUCUGGGUUUUACGUAAUCGUCUGUCAGACCAAAGAUGCUAUAACAAAAUGAGGUGAGUAAGGGUUCACUAAUUUUUUGAGAACUUCAGGAAGUGAAUGGUGGGAUGUGAACAAUGGCAGACGACACACCCCUUCAACUUGUAUACUAUAAAGAGACCAAACUCAUCUCGUCUUACCUUUGAUUUCUGUGAGGGGAAAAAAGCAUGGCGGUAGCUGAAACUAACUGUCGGAUUAGUUUCGAUUUCUAGAAAGUGUUUUACUAUAAUUCAUUUGUUCAAUGGUGAGUUCACCCGUGAUGUGAGUAAUUAUAAAGAGUAAUUGCUAUUAUCUAAUUCAUAUUGUAAUUUGUCAGCCGAGAGUUAUACAAUAUAACCGCUUGUGUUGCAUCAAUCCUUCCUCAGUUAGCGCUAGGACAAAUGUAGCCUACAUUUUUCCAGUUUGGAUGAUUGCGUUAAGCUAUAGAUACUUCUGUGAAUAUCUGAACAUUGCAUCCAAAAAUAAACUGCUCACAUUCUGGACAUAACUUUUAUAAGGACUGUGUUUGUGCAAAAUGUUUCCGAAAAAACAGUGUGGAAGACUGCACUCUGGUCAGAUGAGACUAAAAUUGAGCUUUUUGGCCAUCAAGGAAAACUCUAGCGCAAACCCAACACCUCUCAUCACCCCGAGAACACCAUCUCCACAGUGAAGCAUGGUGGUGGCAGCAUCAUACUGUGGGGAUGUUUUUCAUCGUCAGGGACUGGGAAACUGGUCAGAAUUGAAGGAAUGAUGGAUGGCGCUAAAUACAGGGAAAUUCUUGAGAGAAACCUGUUUCAGUCUUCCAGAGAUUUGAAACUGGGAUGUAGGUUCACCUUCCAGGAGGAUAAUGACCCUAAGCAUACUGCUAAAGCAACACUUGAGUGGUUGAAGAGUAAACAUUGAAAUGUCUUGGAAUGGCUUAGUCAAAGCCCAGACCUCAAUCCAAUUGAGAAUCUGUGGAAUGACUUAAACAUUGCUGUAUACCAGCGGAACACAUCCAACUGGAAGGAGCUGGAUCAGUUUUACCUUGAAUAAUGGGCAUAAAUCCCAGUGACUAGACGUGCCAAGCUCAUAGAGAUAUACCCCAAGAGACUUGCAACUGUAACUUCUGCAAAAGGUGGCUCUUCAAAGUAUUGACUUUGGGGGGGUGAAUAGUUAUACACGCUCAAGUUUUCUGUUUCUGUUUCUUUUUUUCAUUUCACUUCACCAAUUUGGACAAUUUUGUGUAUGUCCAUUACAUGAAAUCUAAAUAAAAAUCCAUUUAAAUUACAGGUUGUAAUGCAACGAAAUAGGAAAAACGCCAAG
Oncorhynchus tshawytscha (Chinook salmon) is the source of this 2860-nucleotide long non-coding RNA. The record is from Ensembl. Lineage: Eukaryota; Metazoa; Chordata; Actinopteri; Salmoniformes; Salmonidae.